GUAAAAGUAAAUAGAAAUCUAUGAAAUUUAACCACAAGGUUUAUGACCAUAAAAGGAAGGUUGGGAUUGAUUUUGGAUGUUUUGGUCCCAACAGUUUAGGAAUAAGGGGCCAAAAAGGGCCCAAAUAAGCAUUUUUCUUGGUUUUCGCACAAUAACUUUAGUAUAAGUAAACAGAAAUCUAUGAAAUUUUAACGUAAGGUCUAUGACCACAAAAGGAAGGUUGGGUUUGAUUUUGGAAGUUUUGGUCCAAACAGUUCAGGAAAUAAGGG
This 269-nucleotide long non-coding RNA is filed under the name Mytilus galloprovincialis (Mediterranean mussel). Lineage: Eukaryota; Metazoa; Mollusca; Bivalvia; Mytilida; Mytilidae. The record is from RNAcentral.